CACUAUGCAUGUAACAAGCGUAUAUUUACACGCCAUCCCUGGUCCGUCCAAAAGUAACGCAAGAGGGGUACCCUGUGCGUCGGUCUCCGAUGCUAAGGGGCACUGACCAAGCAGCAGUAUUUGUCGAGUUGGGAUUGAAAAUGUGUUGACUGGGCAGCUCA
Long non-coding RNA from Sebastes umbrosus (honeycomb rockfish), 161 nucleotides. RefSeq lists it as uncharacterized. The transcript is spliced from 3 exons. Lineage: Eukaryota; Metazoa; Chordata; Actinopteri; Perciformes; Sebastidae. The record is from RefSeq and is a predicted model, not a curated record.